Molecule: RNase P RNA, 571 nt
Filed under: Acidobacteriota bacterium
Lineage: Bacteria; Pseudomonadati; Acidobacteriota
Description: Acidobacteria bacterium RNase P RNA component class A
Rfam family: Bacterial RNase P class A
About the family: Ribonuclease P (RNase P) is a ubiquitous endoribonuclease, found in archaea, bacteria and eukarya as well as chloroplasts and mitochondria.
Source: RNAcentral
CGGGUGAGCUGGACGAUCGCUGGCUUCGCGACGAAGAGUCCGGGCUAAAGCCCGGCACUACGCGAGCGAGGCGGGAGGAAAGUCCGGACACCGCUCUGCGUCAGCAGGGAAAUGGGCAACGCGCCUGGUAACGCCAGGGGAGCAAUGAUAGGCAGCCAUCGAAAGGUGAUUGCUGUUGCGGCUCACGGAAAGUUCCACAGAAAAUAAACCGCCGCGAGAGUUAGCUUCUGUGACGGGCGGCAGGGAAACCUGCUCAUCGUCUUUCAAAAGCGCUUUUGCUGGUAAGGGUGAAACGGUGGGGUAAGAGCCCACCGCUCGUCUGGCAACAGGCGAGGCAAGGAAAACCCCGCGUGGUGCAAGGCCAAAUAGGAGGGGAGAGCCGGCCCGGCUCGCCGAGCGAUGCAAACGAAAGUUUGCCGCGCUCCCUCAAAAGCGGCGCAAGCCGCGAUUGAGAGCAACCCUCGGGUAGGCUGCUGGAGCCGUGGCGCGAGCCGCGGCCUAGAGGAAUGAUCGUCAGGACUCCGACUUGUCGGGGUUCAACAGAAUCCGGCUUAUAUGGCUCAUCCGCUCU